CUUUGCUCGGCCCGUGUCUUACCCGGACUUGUCGGCCAUGUUGAAGGCAAGCCUCGACUCGGAGCACAAUUUUUGCGACUACAUAGCGAAAAUUAUAAGUGUUUGACUAAAAUAGCGGCACACAAGGGGAGAUCAUCCACCACUGUACAGCCACUAAAGACAGCCUAUGAAGACUUCCCACUUGACCUCCUGCACAACCUGUUUGAAGGUGUUGUUCCAGUGGAGUUGGCGCAUUGCUUAAAAGUGUCUGACUAAAGAAGCAGAACAGAAACAUCAGCAGAUCUCCCCAGCCCUUCAGCCAAUGUAUAGAAACUUCAGAUUCAGAUGGAUGCAGCAGGGAUACUGAAGCUAAGGGUCAUCCUUGAUAAUGAUAAUGCUGAAAGACUUAUUUUGCCAUCUCGUCCAUCCAGUGUCCAAGCCCUCAUAGAUGAGAUCAAAUCUAGGCUAAAGUUGACUUUUGACUUUCGGCUUCAGUUUCACGACCCAGAUUUUGAUAAUGCAUUGUGUAAUUUGGUUGUAAUAGAAGACCUGCCAGGCACAGCAUCUGUUAAAGUUGUCAGAUUAGUUGAGCUGGACCAGAUUUCAACCAAUACUGAUGACACAAUCAUUCUGACUGAUAGCACUGAUACCACAGAUUCACCAGAGUGUAUUAGUCGGUGGCCAGAGGUUUUUAUUGUUCCGAUAUUUUUUUAUGAGGUAGAACAUGUGCUAAGGGAAGGUAAUGCAGCAUUUGAAAAGGAUGAGAAAGUAAUUACACUAACUAGAGAUCACAAACACAACAUACUCGAGACAAUGGGGGAAGAAAUCUGCAGACUAAAGGCAUAUCCUAGUAGCACACAAAUUGGCAAGGCUGAAGAAGUUUUAGUUAGAAAGCAUCCCUGUCUGAAGGAGAGAAAUUCUGACACUGGGUGGGACGGAUGGAAGAAUAGUCUGAGACAUAAAGUAGGAAACCAGAGAAAGAAGUUAGCUAAAGCUGGCAUCAAGGAUGUUGCUAUAAAUGCUGGAAAGCACAGCAGAACAAAUCCACAAGGAGCUGCACCAAGGGCGAAUAUCAAAAGACCUAGGAGAGGUGAGGUCAACUUCCUUCUCAGUUAUCCUUCUGGAGAAACAAGGGAGUCUCUGGAGACUGGAGGCUUGAGAUGGUAGAGCAGUACAAGAGGACCUCUGCAGAAAGAGACAUCCCUCUUAUUAAUCAGCACAUGAUGUGCACCUUUGCCCUCUGACAUGAAGAGAUCAUCACAACUUCUCCUGCUGUGUCAGAGCUUAAGGACAGAUGGCCAGCACUCUUUUAUGAGAUGCAGCUCUACUGUGAAUUUCACCUGAUCACCAAUCAGCAUCUACCUCGUGUUUUAUGCUGCACUGGAUGAAUAUCGUUGGUUACGUACUGUAACCCCAGAUUCUACGAGUAUAGGCGCAGCCCUUUAAGGCCAUCGCUAGUGGGUUUAUCCCUUCGCGCGCAGCGCAGCACUGAAAACUUUAGUCC
Long non-coding RNA from Girardinichthys multiradiatus, 1483 nucleotides. RefSeq lists it as uncharacterized. NCBI's taxonomy places the organism in Eukaryota, Metazoa, Chordata, Actinopteri, Cyprinodontiformes, Goodeidae. The record is from RefSeq and is a predicted model, not a curated record. The transcript has 6 exons.